This 492-nucleotide ribosomal RNA is filed under the name uncultured bacterium. RNAcentral describes it as "partial 16S ribosomal RNA". It matches the Rfam family "Bacterial small subunit ribosomal RNA", at positions 29 to 507 of the family's 1533-position model. The record is from RNAcentral.
AGUGAACGCUGGCGGUAGGCCUAACACAUGCAAGUCGAACGGCAGCACAGUAAGAGCUUGCUCUUACGGGUGGCGAGUGGCGGACGGGUGAGGAAUGCAUCGGAAUCUACUUUUUCGUGGGGGAUAACGUAGGGAAACUUACGCUAAUACCGCAUACGACCUACGGGUGAAAGCAGGGGAUCUUCGGACCUUGCGCGAUUGAAUGAGCCGAUGUCGGAUUAGCUAGUUAGCGGGGUAAAGGCCCACCAAGGCGACGAUCCGUAGCUGGUCUGAGAGGAUGAUCAGCCACACUGGAACUGAGACACGGUCCAGACUCCUACGGGAGGCAGCAGUGGGGAAUAUUGGACAAUGGGCGCAAGCCUGAUCCAGCCAUACCGCGUGGGUGAAGAAGGCCUUCGGGUUGUAAAGCCCUUUUGUUGGGAAAGAAAAGCAGCAGGUUAAUACCCCGCUGUUCUGACGGUACCCAAAGAAUAAGCACCGGCUAACUUCGUG